UGAUAUUAGUUGAUUUUCUUAGAAAGUGU
Molecule: small RNA, 29 nt
Filed under: Bombyx mori (domestic silkworm)
Lineage: Eukaryota; Metazoa; Arthropoda; Insecta; Lepidoptera; Bombycidae
Description: ovarian small RNA-32560
Source: RNAcentral